This 465-nucleotide ribosomal RNA is filed under the name uncultured bacterium. RNAcentral describes it as "partial 16S ribosomal RNA". It matches the Rfam family "Bacterial small subunit ribosomal RNA", at positions 28 to 507 of the family's 1533-position model. The record is from RNAcentral.
GACGAACGCUGGCGGCGUGCUUAACACAUGCAAGUCGAACGGAAAGGCCCUGCUUGCAGGGUACUCGAGUGGCGAACGGGUGAGUAACACGUGGGUGAUCUGCCCUGCACUUCGGGAUAAGCCUUGGUAACUGGGUCUAAUACCGGAUAGGAGCCAUUUUUAGUGUGAUGGUUGGAACGUUUUUUCGGUGUGGGAUGAGCUCGAGGCCUAUCAGCUUGUUGGUGGGGUAAUGGCCUACCAAGGCGGCGACGGGUAGCCGGCCUGGGAGGGUGGACGGGCACAGUGGGACUGGGAUACGGCCCAGACCCCUACUGGAGGCAGCAGUGGGGAAUAUUGCACAAUGGGCGUAAGCCUGAUGCAGCGACGCCGCGUGGGGGAGGACGGUCUUCGGGUUGGAAACGCCUUUCUCUAGGGACGAAGCUUUUUGUGACGGUACCUAGAGAAGAAGCACCGGCUAACUACGUG